Molecule: non-coding RNA, 74 nt
Organism: Podarcis lilfordi (Lilford's wall lizard)
Lineage: Eukaryota; Metazoa; Chordata; Lepidosauria; Squamata; Lacertidae
Source: the annotation of a GenBank genome assembly
GCCUUGGUAGCUCAGUCAGUAGAGCAGGAGACUUUUAAUCUCAGGAUUAUGGGUUCAAAGCUCCAUGUUGGGCA